This is an RNA transcript of Zonotrichia leucophrys gambelii, 1933 nucleotides long. It is a transcript of the gene named serum paraoxonase/arylesterase 2, with no coding region annotated. The transcript has 10 exons. The record is from RefSeq and is a predicted model, not a curated record. NCBI's taxonomy places the organism in Eukaryota, Metazoa, Chordata, Aves, Passeriformes, Passerellidae.
CGGGCCCCGGGGGCGGGACGGGACCGCACGGACGGAACGGGACGGGACGGGACGCGGCCGAGCUGGGAGCGGCCAUGGGGAAGCUGCUGGCGGUGGCUCUCGUCGGGAUCGCGGCAGCCUUGGCGGCCGAGCGGCUGCUGGCAUUCCGGAGCAGACUCAAUGCUUCACGGGAAGUAGCCCCGGUGAGCCUCCCGAACUGCCGGCUCAUUAAAGGCAUCGAAACUGGUUCAGAAGACAUCGAUAUACUUCCCAAUGGACUGGCUUUCAUCAGCUCUGGCUUGAAAUAUCCAGGAUUAAAGAGCUUUGCUCCAGAUAAGCCAGGUGAAAUAUUUUUGAUGGAUUUGAAUGAAGACAAUCCCAGAGCAGUGGAACUGAGAAUCAGCCGAGGGUUUGAUCUGGCAUCGUUCAACCCUCAUGGAAUCAGCACCUACAUAGACAGAGAUGACACCGUGUACCUCUUUGUGGUGAACCAUCCCCACCAGAAGAGCACUGUAGAGUUGUUUAAAUUUGUAGAAGAUGACAAUUCUCUUGUGCACCUGAAAACCAUUCGACAUGACCUUCUGACAAGUGUGAAUGACAUAGUAGCCAUGGGACCAGACAGCUUCUAUGCUACCAAUGACCACUACUUCUCUGAUUUCCUCUUGAUGUUCUUAGAAAUGUUCUUGGGUUUAACCUGGUCAAAUGUUGUUUACUACAGUCCAAAAGAAGUUAAAGAAGUAGCAUCUGGGUUUUAUUCAGCCAAUGGAAUUAACAUUUCACCUGAUAGAAAGUACAUCUAUAUUGCAGAUGUAUUGGAUCACAAUGUCCAUGUCAUGGAAAAACAUGCUAACUGGAGUUUAACCCAUGUGAAGACGCUGCAGCUGGACACGCUGGUCGAUAACUUGUCUAUUGACCCUCACACUGGAGACAUCUGGAUAGGAUGUCAUCCCAAUGGGAUGAAGCUGUUCCACUAUGAUCCUGAAAAUCUUCCUGCAUCUGAGGUGCUGCGCAUCCAGAGCAUCCUCUCGGAGCAGCCUGUGGUGACGCGUGUCUACGCUGACGACGGCUCCGUGCUGCAGGGCAGCUCCGUGGCAUCCCCCCACCAGGGAAAGCUGCUCAUCGGCACAGUCUUCCACAGAGCUCUCUUCUGUCAUCUAUAGCUCCUCAUGGGCAAGGCCUGCUGCUGUGGAAAGGAUUUCAUUCCUUGGGAACUCGCUUAGGUUCUGCUAGAUCUGCUAACAACAAGACUGUUCCAAUAAAGGUUAACUACAGUAAUGGAAAUGUAUUUUAGCCUUCCUCUCCAAAGUAAGACUUCUACACAAUAGUAAAGGACAUGGAAUUGAAGUGCUCCUGUGCUGAAGAUGUUCCUGUUGGUCUGCCUACAGAUGGAACCAUGGGCAAGUGAAGGCUCUUACCUUUUCCUACAGUGUUUGAGAGGAGAGACAUCCCAGCUGCCUGCUGUUCCUGACAGUGACAUCUGCCCUGAGGCCAGGAGGGCAGGAAGCCCAUUGCCAACCUCCUCCCAGGCUUCCCAGCCUUGCAGGGCAGAGCUGGGAGCUGGAGCAGGACAGGACACAGCCAGCCAGCAGGUGUGUGCAGCAAGAGCCACGCCGGGCCACAGCUCCUUCCCCUGGCAGCCUCAGGGCAGAAAGAGCCGGGUGCAAGAUGCAGCUCAAGCCUGGCCUCCCAAUUGCCAAGUAACCUGCACAUGGAAAAUCCAGGCUCACCAGCCCAAGGAGGGCAUAACCCAUCAUGUUUAACAUGCUGUAGAGACUGGAGCAGUUCUGGGCAUUUCUGAAACCUGGCUGCAGCUAUGUGAGACAACUUGCUCAAAAGGAAAGACAUAUGUACAGAUGGCUCCAGGCCUAGGGAGCUGCUGGGCAGACACAUUUUAUGUGUCAGUUGUGGACCCAGAGCAUCUUAGUAUAUCUAUUUUAAUUAAGAGAAUAAUUUU